Molecule: long non-coding RNA, 562 nt
Organism: Ceratitis capitata (Mediterranean fruit fly)
Lineage: Eukaryota; Metazoa; Arthropoda; Insecta; Diptera; Tephritidae
Exons: 3
Source: RefSeq, a predicted model, not a curated record
CGAAAAAGGUCAAAGAUAUUCGUACAGAAAACUGUUAAAAGCAAUGAUAACGGUGCAUGCAGUGAGUGUAAAAACAAAUAAUAACAAUAAUAAAGAAUUCAUACAACAACAACUGCUACUGCUGACGACCAAGUACGUGUGUGUUGAAAUUUCAGAGCCAAAACAAACGGAUCGAAAGUUGUGUGAGUGUGGCGUAAAACAAAGCAAAAAUAAACCAAAUUCGGUGAAAGUUUGAAUAUUUGAUAUUUUUAUGCCAUUCAUGAUCAGAAUGACGGGUUGAGUUGAUCGAGCCACAUCCGACUGAUUGGUCUGUUUGUAAGAAACUAAUCCCUCCAGUUUUGAGAUAUGUCAAUCAAACUUGUAUUCAACUCGCCUUCGCCCGAUCGAAGAUCAGAAAAUUAUAAUCCGUUGUACAUUCAGCAAGUUACCUAAACUCUUUUCACUAAGGCAUAAAUCCUUUUCCACUUCCACAACAUUUUCACCACAAUUUUCCGGAGUUACCUUUCAAUUGACCAAUUAAAAUUCCAUUUCGUUAUUUUACACCUUUUUAAAUUCUUAUUAU